GACGAACGCUGGCGGCGUGCUUAACACAUGCAAGUCAAGGGGGCCCAGUAGCAAUACUGGGCAACCGGCGAACGGGUGCGUAACACGUGAGCAACCUACCGAAAUGUGGGGGAUAGCCGGCCGUAACGGCCGAGUAAUACCGCAUACGCUCUCGAUGAGGCAUUUCAUUGAGAGGAAACCUACGGGACAUUUCGAGGGGCUCGCGGCCUAUCAGCUAGUUGGCGAGGAACGGCUCACCAAGGCAACGACGGUAGCUGGUCUGAGAGGAUGGCCAGCCACAUUGGGACUGAGAUACGGGCCCAGACUCCUACGGGAGGCAGCAGUGGGGAAUCUGCGCAAUGGCCUAACGGCUGACGCAGCGACGCCGCGU
RNAcentral lists this ribosomal RNA (370 nucleotides) under uncultured bacterium. Its description in RNAcentral is "bacterial SSU rRNA". It matches the Rfam family "Bacterial small subunit ribosomal RNA", at positions 28 to 402 of the family's 1533-position model. The record is from RNAcentral.